AAUAUUGGACAAUGGGCGAAAGCCUGACCCAGCCAUGCCGCGUGGGUGGAGAAGCUCUUCGGUUUGUAAAGCACUUUAAGUUGGGAGGAAGGGUCUGAAGCUAAUACCUUCAAUCUUUGACGUUACCAACAGAAUAAGCGCCUGCUAACUUGGUGCCAGCAGCCGCCGGAAUACAGAGGGUGCAAGCGUUAAUCGGAAUUACUGGGCGUAAAGCGCGCGUAGGUGGUUCAGUAAGAUGGAAGUGAAAUCCCCGGGCUUAACCUGGGAACUGCUUUCAUAACUGCUGAGCUAGAGUACGGUAGAGGGUAGUGGAAUUUCCUGUGUAGCGGUAAAAUGCGUAGAUAUAGGAAGGAACACCAGUGGCGAAGGCGACUACCUGGACUGAUACUGACACUGAGGUGCGAAAGCGUGGGGAGCAAACAGG
RNAcentral lists this ribosomal RNA (424 nucleotides) under uncultured bacterium. RNAcentral's name for it is "partial 16S ribosomal RNA". It matches the Rfam family "Bacterial small subunit ribosomal RNA", at positions 360 to 776 of the family's 1533-position model. The record is from RNAcentral.